This 253-nucleotide ribosomal RNA is filed under the name uncultured bacterium. RNAcentral's name for it is "partial 16S ribosomal RNA". It matches the Rfam family "Bacterial small subunit ribosomal RNA", at positions 524 to 776 of the family's 1533-position model. The record is from RNAcentral.
GACAGAGGGUGCAAACGUUGCUCGGAAUUACUGGGCGUAAAGCGCGUGUAGGCGGACUGGUGUGUCGGAUGUGAAAUCCCCAGGCUCAACCUCGGAACUGCCUUUGAUACUGCAAAUCUCGAGUCCGGAAGAGGUGAGUGGAAUUCCUAGUGUAGAGGUGAAAUUCGUAGAUAUUAGGAAGAACACCAGUGGCGAAGGCGGCUCACUGGUCCGGUACUGACGCUGAGGUGCGAAAGCGUGGGGAGCAAACAGG